AGAGUUUGAUCCUGGCUCAGGAUGAACGCUGGCGGCGUGCCUAAUACAUGCAAGUCGAGCGAACCACUUCGGUGGGAAGCGGCGAACGGGUGAGUAACACGUAGGUGAUCUGCCCAUCAGACGGGGACAACGAUUGGAAACGAUCGCUAAUACCGGAUAGGACGAAAGUUUAAAGAUGCUCCUGGCAUCACUGAUGGAUGAGCCUGCGGCGCAUUAGCUAGUUGGUGGGGUAAAGGCCUACCAAGGCGACGAUGCGUAGCCGACCUGAGAGGGUGAACGGCCACACUGGGACUGAGACACGGCCCAGACUCCUACGGGAGGCAGCAGUAGGGAAUCUUCGGCAAUGGGCGAAAGCCUGACCGAGCAACGCCGCGUGAAUGAAGAAGGCCUUCGGGUUGUAAAAUUCCGUUAUAAGGGAAGAAAGGUGAUAGGAGGAAAUGACUAUCAAUUGACGGUACCUUAUGAGAAAGCCACGGCUAACUACGUG
Molecule: ribosomal RNA, 487 nt
Filed under: uncultured Turicibacter sp.
Lineage: Bacteria; Bacillati; Bacillota; Erysipelotrichia; Erysipelotrichales; Turicibacteraceae
Description: bacterial SSU rRNA
Rfam family: Bacterial small subunit ribosomal RNA
Source: RNAcentral